Long non-coding RNA from Gasterosteus aculeatus aculeatus (three-spined stickleback), 1467 nucleotides. The record is from Ensembl. NCBI's taxonomy places the organism in Eukaryota, Metazoa, Chordata, Actinopteri, Perciformes, Gasterosteidae.
CGAACAAGGACAUUGGCACAGAGAAUGUCCACAAAAUGCACCUCGUAGAGGAUGGGGGCGUGGACUGGCCAGACGAGGAAGGGGUGGCAACGCACAUUCCGAUUGACGUGAGGCGGAGGGGGAGGAGGCUGCAUGUGAGGGGGAGACGGCAACCAUGCUGAGGCCUCACAUGAUAAGGGAAGUAAAACACACACACACCGCAGCCUGCAAUGAAGAAACGCUUUCUGCACUAACUCCCUGCACGCACACUCACACUCACACUCACACUCACACACCGGAGCAACAACAAGCUCUCGUGGACAUCACAGAGCAAUUGAGAACACAACAAAAGCUUUCACUUAAACACACAUACGCAAAGUUUUCAGGAAAAUCAUUUGAAAAUAUGCCCACCACUAUGGUGCAAAUUCAAGGGAAACUUUUAUCGUUUUUGGUUGAUUCGGGGGCUACACAUUCUGUAAUACAACAAAAGUAUUUUCCAGGUCAGAAACUUAGUGGAAAACAGGUUUUCUCACAAGGAGCUUCAGGGAUGACUAUUGUAGAGAGAUUUAUGGCACCUAUGACCAGUACACACACUGACUCAACUGACCCUGAACCAGACAUCACAGUAAAACAUUCCUUUUUGCUGUCCUCUUGCUGUCCCAUUAAUCUAAUGGGCAGAGACCUCAUGUGUUCUUUCGGCAUUAGCCUCAUCUCCACUCCUACAAGUGGUUGCAAGUGGUGAGAUGCAGAGCCAUUGACCAGAUGGCAAAGACAGUUAUAAGUGAUCCAAUGUUUGUGUACCAGUGGUGGCUUCCGGUUGACUCACAAUCAGAAUUGUCCCACCUGGCAGCAUCACGCGUCCAGCCUGAGGCAGAGUGCAUGGAUGCUUCAUAUCUCCACUGCACAGCUCAUGUGUCACAUGGGCCAGAUCUCCUUGUCUAAAGCAGCAACAGACCAAUGGAGAGAUUUGGGACCCUUUGUCGCAGCGUGCGAGGCAUUGACAGAUUGGGAGGCUACACCAGAUCCACUUUUCUGUCCCAGACACCUUGUGGGCAGCGCAUAAAUAUGACGUGGGACUCAUCAAAAAAUGUCAACCUGUGGUCAUCACUCCUCGAUCAGACUUCCGUCCCCGCAAACAUCAAUACCCACUGCGCCAAGAGGCCAUUGACGGUAUAACACCGGUGUUCAACUCCCUCUUAAAGGCCGGAGUCAUUGUUCCAUGUCCUGACUCGCCGGUAAGAACACCUAUUUUUCCAGUUAAAAAGAUCAGAGAUGCAGGCAAACCAACUGAGUGGCGCUUCGUGCAGGACCUAAAAGCAGUUAAUGCAGCCGUCCACGCACGAGCCCCAAAUGUUCCCAACCCUUACACCAUUAUGGCACAGGUUCCACCUGAUGCUCGAUGGUUUUCCGUGGUUGACCUCUCAAAUGCUUUUUUCAGUGUCCCUGUGGACAUUGACAGUCAGUUUUGGUUUGCGUUUAAUUUCAAUG